RNAcentral lists this ribosomal RNA (254 nucleotides) under uncultured bacterium. RNAcentral's name for it is "partial 16S ribosomal RNA". It matches the Rfam family "Bacterial small subunit ribosomal RNA", at positions 524 to 776 of the family's 1533-position model. The record is from RNAcentral.
GACAGAGGGUGCUAGCGUUGUUCGGAAUUACUGGGCGUAAAGGGCGCGUAGGCGGCUUGUUUAGUCGGGUGUGAAAUCCCGGGGCUCAACCCCGGAACUGCAUUCGAUACUGGCAGGCUAGAGACCGGAAGAGGUGGGUGGAAUACCCAGUGUAGAGGUGAAAUUCGUAGAUAUUGGGUGGAACACCGGUGGCGAAGGCGGCUCACUGGUCCGGUUCUGACGCUGAGGCGCGAAAGCGGUGGGGAGCAAACAGG